Molecule: long non-coding RNA, 1266 nt
Filed under: Homo sapiens (human)
Lineage: Eukaryota; Metazoa; Chordata; Mammalia; Primates; Hominidae
Description: HSALNT0408616
Source: RNAcentral
CUAAACCUCACAGGCUGUCUCCUCAGGGUUAGUGGUUAUUUUUCCUCAGCUAGAGGGAAGAACAAAGGAAUGGAGCCCAGAUGCACCAGAAUGGGGACCUGGUGGAAGAACUGAAAAAGCUGGGGAUCCGCUCCACCCUUUUAGAUGAAAAAAGAAAUAUGGAUGUGCCCAUAGCACACAUUACUCAGCUUUGAAACUGGCAGAUAAGGCUGUUGCCUUACAGAAGGGCAGAGAAACAUGAAGGAAUCAACCCAAGUCCAUGAGUGACUGAAUGAGUUGAGUAGGCCACCUAUGUGCUCUGGACUGUCAAGUGGAGAGAAACUUGACAAGUGAUACUGAGUGUCCUCCUCAACCAAAGUGAACAUUUAGAAAGAGUCUCACUCUGCUGCCCAGGCUAGAGUACAGUGGUAUGAUCUCAGCUCACCUCAACCUCCACCUCCCGGAUUCAAGCGACUCUCCUGCCUCAGCCUCCCAAGUAGCUGGGAUCACAGGCGUGCACCACCAUGCCUGGAUGAUUUUUGUAUUUUUAGUAGAGACUGGUUCUCACCAUGUUGGCCAGUGUGGUCUCGAACUCCUUACCUCAGGUGAUCCGCCUGCCUUGGCCUUCCAAAGUGCUGGGAUUAUAGGCAUGAGCCACCGCACCCGGCCAGCACUUACACUUAUACAUCAUGUAUUGUAAUUGCUCAUUUCCUUGUCUGUGUCUCCCAUUAGUCCCUCAGCUCUACAAGUUUGGGGAUUGUAUCAGUUUUUUCCACUGCUCUCUCAGUUUCGCUGACACACAAUAGAAAUUUAUUAAAUGUUUGUUGAUUAAAUGAAUAAAAUGGUGAGAGACUUCAAGCUUAGGUGCCUUGGGAGAGCCAUAACCAGACAGGAUUCCUCUGUUAAAGCUUAAUCUAUGAGCUGCUGACAAUUGUAAAGCCAGAGCCCCAAGGCCUGCGGUCACUUUCAGAUGAUGUCCCUUUCGGGAGGUGUCAGUGAAACCCACCUGCCCACCACCUUGCCUGUCUGUUUUCUGUGUGCUGUGUGGGCCAAGUAGUACUGGGAGGAGCAGCUUUAAAUCUGAAAGUGUCCUAUACAUUUUCCAAGCCUCUGUAGCAGUCACCAUUUUUCCCAAGCUAGCUUGUGUAAUAAUGCCUGGAGGCUAGUAAACAAUGAACAAUCCAAUACCUUUCAAAGCAUCCUGGAAGUACAAUAUUUGUGCUCCUUCUGUGGCAUGUAAAUAUGUCUUAUAUCAUGCAACAUGCUGCUUUUCUAAAUAUUCAUAAA